This 407-nucleotide ribosomal RNA is filed under the name Verrucomicrobiota bacterium. RNAcentral's name for it is "Verrucomicrobia bacterium partial 16S ribosomal RNA". It matches the Rfam family "Bacterial small subunit ribosomal RNA", at positions 355 to 776 of the family's 1533-position model. The record is from RNAcentral. Lineage: Bacteria; Pseudomonadati; Verrucomicrobiota.
UGGGGAAUAUUGGGCAAUGGGCGAAAGCCUGACCCAGCAACGCCGCGUGAAGUAUGAAUGCCUUCGGGUUGUAAACUUCUUUGAUCAGGGAAGAAACAAAUGACGGUACCUGAAAAACAAGCCACGGCUAACUACGUGCCAGCAGCCGCGGUAAUACGUAGGUGGCGAGCGUUAUCCGGAUUUACUGGGUGUAAAGGGCGUGCAGGCGGGCUGAUAAGUCAGAUGUGAAAUCCCCGAGCUUAACACGGGAACUGCAUCUGAUAUUGUUGGGCUUGAGUGCAGGAGAGAAAAGUGGAAUUACUAGUGUAGCGGUGAAAUGCGUAGAGAUUAGGAGGAACACCGGUGGCGAAAGCGGCUUUUUGGCCUGCAACUGACACUGAGGCGCGAAAGCGUGGGGAGCAAACAGG